CAAGCCUGCCUGUCUUCACCUUGAGCUGUGCUGCUGUGUGGACUGUCUGAGCCACCAAACUUGAUCUUGUUUCAGAGCAGGAAUGGCUGGCUUGUCGAGUCUCUCUUUUCUUUCUCCAGCAGCUGCCUAACAGUGCAGUCCUUCCUCGUUUCAAAGUUGUCGGGAGUUUUUCUAAUGAACCGCCUCUGGAUUCUGAACAGGGAGGAGCGCAUAACCCCAUCUACACUGCAACUUGAACUUGAGUGCUUGUCCUAAGCAGUGACAGCAGCAUGGAGGCAGAAUAGCUUCCAAAAGGGAAUGAAUGUUUGACAGUCAGAUGUGAUGUUCUCAUGAUGCUGGAGUGUUGGAGGCUGCCAUUACAAUUCAGGCUGCGGGCUGUAUUUUACUUGUCAACAUUUCCAAGAUAGUUAAACAUAAAUUGUGAAACUUUUUCCAUCCCAA
Molecule: long non-coding RNA, 441 nt
Organism: Hemicordylus capensis (graceful crag lizard)
Lineage: Eukaryota; Metazoa; Chordata; Lepidosauria; Squamata; Cordylidae
Exons: 2
Source: RefSeq, a predicted model, not a curated record